GCUGAGCACGGUGGUGCGUGCCUGUAGUUCCAGCUACUUGGGAGGCUGAGGCUGGAGGAUCACUUGAGCCCAGGAGUUCUGAGCUGUAGUGUGCUGUGCCCACUGGGUGUCCGUACUAAGUUCAGCAUCAAUACGGUGACCUCCUGGGGAUUGGGGGACCACCAGUUUGCCUAAUGGAGCAGGUUAAAACUCCCUCGAUGAUCAGUAGUGGGAUCACGCCUGUGAACAGCCACUGCACUCCAGCCUGGGCAACAUAGCAAGACCCUGUCUCUU
Unclassified non-coding RNA from Callithrix jacchus (white-tufted-ear marmoset), 273 nucleotides. It matches the Rfam family "Metazoan signal recognition particle RNA". Rfam says of the family: The signal recognition particle (SRP) is a universally conserved ribonucleoprotein. Lineage: Eukaryota; Metazoa; Chordata; Mammalia; Primates; Cebidae. The record is from Ensembl.